CAUAACACUCAAUCAGGAUAACACCAUGUGUGAAGUAUUUAGUAGAUUAUAAAUGUACCGUAUUUGUAAUAUCAAGAUUUAAAACAAGAUAGUCUUACAAUGGAUUAGCACUUUAUAUCUGUAAGUGGGAUUAGGAAUAGGCAAUUUUCUCAGUGAGAACUCAUUGGGUAAGAUUCCAUGGAACUAAAAUAUUUGCAGUCACUAAUUAUAAGUAACAUUCCUCUUUGUCCACCUCUACUCUAAAUAAUUUAAUAUGCCACAGCAUUUAUUUCUGGUUCUUUUCUGUGGUGACUGAGUCAGAUUUUUAGGUUCUUGUUAUAUCUUUUAACACUAAAAAACUUCAGCGCUGGGAUGUAAGAGAGCUGUGAUAAUUCUUGAUAAAUUUUAAGUUGUGUAGGAAUCGUGCUGUGUCCAUAACUUUAGUUGAUAGAAAAUUAUCCUAACUAAGGUUGCUGCCCCUCUUCUCUUGUUCCCCAUCCCUUUGAGGCUAGAGGUUCGUCUUGACUUAAAUGGGGUUACCACUUGUAGCUCAACUGCUGGCUUGGCCAAGAGCCAGGAGGUCAUACAUGAGAAAUAUCACAAGGCGACACCACAAAAAUUUCUCUCCCACAGGUCCUGCUGUCAUAGAGCCUGAAACGUCUUUGGGUUCACUCAGUCCUUUGAAGACCAAAGGGAGGAAUAGAAAAGAAUGCCCUGAAAACAGAUGCUUAUUAAUUCAAAGUUUUGUUCCAUAUUACUUUUUUUCCAAGGGUUGCUUUGAUUUUCCAAGAGUAGAAAUAGUUAUCACCUAAUCAAGAUUGUUAUUGUUGGUAAGCUGAAUUCACAACUAGACUAUUCUAAUGACAAAUAACCAGUGAUAACUGUGUUUUGAAUUGUGUGAAGAUUCACAUCCACAACAACAACAAAAACAAAGAGUUUUUUUGUUUUACCCCUGGGUUGUCUGGAUUGGGAUCCAGAGACCACAGAAAUUCAAGGCCAU
RNAcentral lists this long non-coding RNA (979 nucleotides) under Dasypus novemcinctus (nine-banded armadillo). RNAcentral's name for it is "lncRNA (ENSDNOG00000051571.1)". Lineage: Eukaryota; Metazoa; Chordata; Mammalia; Cingulata; Dasypodidae. The record is from RNAcentral.